This is a long non-coding RNA of Drosophila innubila, 178 nucleotides long. RefSeq lists it as uncharacterized. Lineage: Eukaryota; Metazoa; Arthropoda; Insecta; Diptera; Drosophilidae. The transcript is spliced from 2 exons. The record is from RefSeq and is a predicted model, not a curated record.
GUGUGAGAGUGUGUUGUGAGUGUGUGUGUGUGUGUUUGUGUGUGUAAAGGCUCAAGUGAUGGCCUGCGGAAUCCAUAGCAAACCACAACAAGAACCUGACUACUGGCACAUUUAUCGCAGCUAGCGAGGCAUUUUUUAAGCCUACCUAAAACUUGUGUGUGCCAAAAAAGAAAAAAAA